UGAAUACGAGACGCUAAGGCGUUGAAGUAGUGUAUGUCAUACUUCCAAGAAAAGCUUGCACUGUCAUAGAUAAAAAACGCCUGUACCAUAACCGACACAAGUGGGUAGGUAGAGUAUACUAAGGGGCGCGAGAUAACUCUCUCUAAGGAACUCGGCAAAAUAACUCCGUAACUUCGGGAGAAGGAGUGCCUUAUUCGUAAGGUUGCAAUAACAAGAUCCAAGCAACUGUUUAUCAAAAACACAGGUCUCCGCUAAGUCGUAAGACGAUGUAUGGGGGCUGACGCCUGCCCAGUGCCAGAAGGUUAAAGAAGUUGGUUAGCAAUUGCGAAGCUGAUAACUGAAGCCCUGGUGAACGGCGGCCGUAACUAUAACGGUCCUAAGGUAGCGAAAUUCCUUGUCGGGUAAGUUCCGACCCGUACGAAAGGCGUAAUGAUUUGGAUACUGUCUCGGAGAGGGGCUCGGUGAAAUAGACUUGUCUGUGAAGAUGCGGACUACCUGCACCAGGACAGAAAGACCCUAUGAAGCUUUACUGUAACUUGAAAUUGAAAUUGGACUUUAUUCGCGCAGUAUAGGUGGGAGGCGUUGAUUAUAAUCUUGUGGGAUUAUUGGAGCCAUCAGUGAGAUACCACUCUUGUAAUGUUAGAUUUCUAACUUUGAAUCAUUAUCUGGUCAAAGAACAGUUUCAGGCGGGCAGUUUGACUGGGGCGGUCGUCUCCUAAACGGUAACGGAGGCGUACAAAGGUUUCCUCUGAACGGUUAGAAAUCGUAUCUAGAGUGUAAAGGCAUAAGGAAGCUUGACUGUGAGACCUACAAGUCGAGCAGGGACGAAAGUCGGUCUUAGUGAUCUGACGGUACUGAGUGGAAAGGCCGUCACUCAACGGAUAAAAGUUACUCUAAGGAUAACAGGCUGAUCUCCCCCAAGAGUUCACAUCGACGGGGAGGUUUGGCACCUCGAUGUCGGCUCAUCGCAUCCUGGGGCGGUAGUACGUCCCAAGGGUUGGGCUGUUCGCCCAUGAAAGCGGUACGCGAGCUGGGUUCAGAACGUCGUGAGACAGUUCGGUCCAUAUCCGGUGUAGGCGUUAGAAUAUUGAGAGGAGCCUUCUUUAGUACGAGAGGACCGAGAAGGACAUACCUCUGGUGUACCAGUUAUCGUGCCAACGGUAAACGCUGGGUAGCUAUGUAUGGAGUGGAUAACCGCUGAAAGCAUCUAAGUGGGAAGCCCACCUCAAGAUAAGUAUUCUCA
This 1243-nucleotide ribosomal RNA is filed under the name metagenome. Its description in RNAcentral is "bacterial LSU rRNA". It matches the Rfam family "Bacterial large subunit ribosomal RNA", at positions 1564 to 2816 of the family's 2925-position model. The record is from RNAcentral.